This is a non-coding RNA of Cyanistes caeruleus (blue tit), 857 nucleotides long. Lineage: Eukaryota; Metazoa; Chordata; Aves; Passeriformes; Paridae. The record is from RefSeq and is a predicted model, not a curated record.
CUGAUUUUCCAUUUCAUUGGAUGGGGAAACUCCCCGGGCUGUCUCCAGACUCUUCCCAGUAAACAUUCUGCACUGGAAGGGAAGGUGGAAGGCAACUGGACGGUGCAGUCUGGGUGAGAGGUGCUUGCUCAGUCUACAGUGAGAGAUUAUGAAAAUAGCAUGCAAUACAUGCUUCUCUACUAAAGCAGCCACCAACUAUAAAGCCGAUUCAGAGUUAAAGAGAAGCCUCUUUGUAAAAGUCAGCCCUGAAAAAGGAAGCAUCUGGUUCAGCUGUGUGGAUAUCACUUUGGAAUUCUGCAGUUCCAGAGCUCCCCAAUCCCAUAACAGCCUGCACUGGUUGGCCCUGCCUCUCCUGCUCAGCUUGCAAAAAAUGAAACAGACCACAAAACCAAAGAAUAUUCCAGCACAUACAAAUUUAUCAUCGCCAACAGCAAUGUGACAUGAUAAUGUGGGUACCCCUAUACUGGAUAACACGAUGAUACCACAGUUAAGACUUGGAAAAAGCCUGCUCAUGCCUAAGAGAACUUCUGAAUAAUUUAUCCAUCCGUAUGACAUCUCUCUAAGGCACUAACACCUUAUGAACUUAAUUUUGCUGGUAAGAAAAAUACACUAGUUACAUUUCAGUGCUUUGCUACAGUAACUUGAAACAAGUUCCCUGAAAAAAGGAGGAGAGAAGGGGGUGAGACAGCAUCCUUUCUAAUACUUGCAUUAUGUAGGCUGUCAUGUCUUUAUAGUGUUCAUUGUUACUGAAGACCUAUGCUUGAGAUUUCCUCUGUGUGCUCCAAGACUUAAAUAUGCUUUAUCUCACUUUUGUAUUUAGGUGAUUUGAAACACCAGAAAUAUCUAAAUCUUGCAAU